Molecule: ribosomal RNA, 254 nt
Filed under: uncultured bacterium
Lineage: Bacteria
Description: partial 16S ribosomal RNA
Rfam family: Bacterial small subunit ribosomal RNA
Source: RNAcentral
UACGGGGGGAGCAAGCGUUGUUCGGAUUUACUGGGCGUAAAGGGCGCGUAGGCGGCCACCGCAAGUCGAUUGUGAAAUCUCCGGGCUUAACUCGGAAAGGUCAACCGAUACUGCGGGGCUAGAGUGCAGAAGGGGCAACUGGAAUUCUCGGUGUAGCGGUGAAAUGCGUAGAUAUCAAGAGGAGUACCUGAGGUGAAGACGGGUUGCUAGGCUGACACUGACGCUGAGGCGCGAAAGCCAGGGGAGCAAACGGG